GUCCACGCUGUAAACGAUGAGAACUAGACGUCGGGGAGUUUAAUCUUCUUGGUGUCGCAGCUAACGCAAUAAGUUCUCCGCCUGGGGAGUACGGCCGCAAGGUUAAAACUCAAAGGAAUUGACGGGGGCCCGCACAAGCGGUGGAGCAUGUGGUUCAAUUCGAUGCAACGCGAAAAACCUUACCUACCCUUGACAUCUAUGGAACCUGCUAGAGAUAGCGGGGUGCCUUCGGGAACCAUAAGACAGGUGCUGCAUGGCUGUCGU
RNAcentral lists this ribosomal RNA (264 nucleotides) under uncultured bacterium. RNAcentral's name for it is "partial 16S ribosomal RNA". It matches the Rfam family "Bacterial small subunit ribosomal RNA", at positions 793 to 1055 of the family's 1533-position model. The record is from RNAcentral.